AUUGAACGCUGGCGGCAGGCUUAACACAUGCAAGUCGAGCGAGUGGCGGACGGGUGAGUAAUGUCUGGGAAACUGCCUGAUGGAGGGGGAUAACUACUGGAAACGGUAGCUAAUACCGCAUACCAUCAGAUGUGCCCACAUGGGAUUAGCUAGUAGGUGGGGUAAUGGCUCACCUAGGCGACGAUCCCUAGCUGGUCUGCGAGGAUGACCAGCCACACGGGAACUGCGACACGGUCCAGACUCCUACGGGAGGCAGCAGUGGGGAAUAUUGCACAAUGGGCGCAAGCCUGAUACAGCCACGCCGCGUGUGUGAAGAAGGCCUUCGGGUUGUAAAGUACUUUCAGCGAGGAGGCGUUACUCGCAGAAGAAGCACCGGCUAACUCCGUGCCAGCAGCCGCGGUAAUAC
Molecule: ribosomal RNA, 406 nt
Filed under: uncultured bacterium
Lineage: Bacteria
Description: partial 16S ribosomal RNA
Rfam family: Bacterial small subunit ribosomal RNA
Source: RNAcentral